Molecule: non-coding RNA, 148 nt
Filed under: Mahella australiensis
Lineage: Bacteria; Bacillati; Bacillota; Clostridia; Mahellales; Mahellaceae
Also listed under: 1 other name
Description: GlcN6P sequence
Rfam family: glmS glucosamine-6-phosphate activated ribozyme aptamer
About the family: This entry contains a glucosamine-6-phosphate activated ribozyme that is found in the mRNA for GlmS.
Source: RNAcentral
UUCGAUAUAAAAGCGCCGGAACUCAUUUUGAGUUGACGAGGUCAGGGUUUAUCGAUUUUUCGGCGGGUGCCCUGCGGCAUACGGCUGCCGACAAAGGUUCCACAAAAGCAAAAAGCGAUUUUUGCUACAAACGGGACUGGGCCAAAAU